RNAcentral lists this ribosomal RNA (577 nucleotides) under Sarocladium kiliense. RNAcentral describes it as "partial large subunit ribosomal RNA". It matches the Rfam family "Eukaryotic large subunit ribosomal RNA", at positions 87 to 686 of the family's 3401-position model. Lineage: Eukaryota; Fungi; Ascomycota; Sordariomycetes; Hypocreales; Sarocladiaceae. The record is from RNAcentral.
CGGCGAGUGAAGCGGCAACAGCUCAAAUUUGAAAUCUGGCCGCAAGGUCCGAGUUGUAAUUUGUAGAGGAUGCUUUUGGCGAGGUGCCUUCCGAGUUCCCUGGAACGGGACGCCAUAGAGGGUGAGAGCCCCGUACGGUAGGACCACCAAGCCUCUGUAAAGCUCCUUCGACGAGUCGAGUAGUUUGGGAAUGCUGCUCUAAAUGGGAGGUGUAUGUCUUCUAAAGCUAAAUACCGGCCAGAGACCGAUAGCGCACAAGUAGAGUGAUCGAAAGAUGAAAAGCACUUUGAAAAGAGGGUUAAAAAGUACGUGAAAUUGUUGAAAGGGAAGCAUUUAUGACCAGACUUGGGCUUGGUUGAACAUCCGGCGUUCUCGCCGGUGCACUCUGCCAGUCCAGGCCAGCAUCAGUUUGCUCCGGGGGAUAAAGGCGGUGGGAACGUGGCACCCUACGGGGUGUGUUAUAGCCCGCCGUGUAAUGCCCUGGAGCGGACUGAGGAACGCGCUUCGGCUCGGAUGCUGGCGUAAUGGUCAUCAAUGACCCGUCUUGAAACACGGACCAAGGAGUCGUCUUCGUAUG